CACGUAGUUAGCCGGGGCUUUCUUCUCAAGUACCGUCACCCUCAGGGCAGUUUCUCCCCAAGGCGUUCUUCCUUGGCAACAGAGCUUUACGAUCCGAAAACCUUCUUCACUCACGCGGCGUUGCUCCGUCAGACUUGCGUCCAUUGCGGAAGAUUCCCUACUGCUGCCUCCCGUAGGAGUCUGGGCCGUGUCUCAGUCCCAGUGUGGCCGAUCACCCUCUCAGGUCGGCUACGCAUCGUCGCCUUGGUGAGCCGUUACCUCACCAACCAGCUAAUGCGCCGCAGGCCCAUCUGUAAGCCACAGCUUGCACCGUGUUUCUUGAUCUCCCCAUGCGGGUAAACCAUCUAUCCGCUCUUAGCUACCGUUUCCGGUAGUUAUCCCGGUCUUACAGGCAGGUUGCCUACGUGUUACUCACCCGUCCGCCGCUAACUUACCCCGAAGGAUAAAUCCGCUCGACUUGCAUGUAUUAGGCACGCCGCCAGCGUGUCUCGUGCGCGACGUCAACUAC
This 508-nucleotide ribosomal RNA is filed under the name uncultured Paenibacillus sp. RNAcentral describes it as "partial 16S ribosomal RNA". Lineage: Bacteria; Bacillati; Bacillota; Bacilli; Caryophanales; Paenibacillaceae. The record is from RNAcentral.